AUAUCAAUAAGCGGAGGAAAAGAAACUAACAAGGAUUCCCCUAGUAACUGCGAGUGAAGCGGGAUGAGCUCAAAUUUAAAAUCUGGUAGCUUUGCUGCCCGAGUUGUAAUCUGGAGAAGCAUUUUCCGCGUCAGACCGUGUACAAGUCUCUUGGAAUAGAGCGUCAUAGAGGGUGAGAAUCCCGUCCAUGACACGGACCGCUGAUGCUUUGUGAUAUGCUCUCGAAGAGUCGAGUUGUUUGGGAAUGCAGCUCAAAAUGGGUGGUAAAUUCCAUCUAAAGCUAAAUAUUGGCGAGAGACCGAUAGCGCACAAGUA
Molecule: ribosomal RNA, 315 nt
Filed under: uncultured Agaricomycetes
Lineage: Eukaryota; Fungi; Basidiomycota; Agaricomycetes
Description: partial large subunit ribosomal RNA
Rfam family: Eukaryotic large subunit ribosomal RNA
Source: RNAcentral